This 403-nucleotide ribosomal RNA is filed under the name uncultured bacterium. RNAcentral describes it as "partial 16S ribosomal RNA". It matches the Rfam family "Bacterial small subunit ribosomal RNA", at positions 30 to 526 of the family's 1533-position model. The record is from RNAcentral.
AUUGAACGCUGGCGGCAGGCCUAACACAUGCAAGUCGAACGAGCGGCGGACGGGUGAGUAAUGUAUGGGGACUGCCCGCUAGAGGGGGAUAACUACUGGAAACAGUGUCUAUUACCGCGUACUGUAUGGUGAUCCAUAUGGGAUUAUCUAGUAGGUAAGGUAAUGGCUUACCUAGGCGACGAUCCCUAGCUGGUCUGAGAGGAUGAUCAGCCACACUGGGACUGAGACACGGCCCAGACUCCUACGGAGGCAGCAGUGGGGAAUAUUGCACAAUGGGCGCAAGCCUGAUGCAGCCAUGCCGCGUGUAUGAAGAAGGCCCUAGGGUUGUAAAGUACUUUCAGUCGGGAGGCGUUACCGACAGAAGAAGCACCGGCUAACUCCGUGCCAGCCGCCGCGGUAAUAC